AUUGAACGCUGGCGGCAGGCCUAACACAUGCAGGUCGAGCGGAUGAAGGGAGCUUGCUCCUGGAUUCAGCGGCGGACGGGUGAGUAAUGCCUAGGAAUCUGCCUGGUAGUGGGGGAUAACGUCCGGAAACGGGCGCUAAUACCGCAUACGUCCUGAGGGAGAAAGUGGGGGAUCUUCGGACCUCACGCUAUCAGAUGAGCCUAGGUCGGAUUAGCUAGUUGGUGGGGUAAAGGCCUACCAAGGCGACGAUCCGUAACUGGUCUGAGAGGAUGAUCAGUCACACUGGAACUGAGACACGGUCCAGACUCCUACGAGAGGCAGCAGUGGGGAAUAUUGGACAAUGGGCGAAAGCCUGAUCCAGCCAUGCCGCGUGUGUGAAGAAGGUCUUCGGAUUGUAAAGCACUUUAAGUUGGGAGGAAGGGCAGUAAGUUAAUACCUUGCUGUUUUGACGUUACCAACAGAAUAAGCACCGGCUAACUUCGUG
RNAcentral lists this ribosomal RNA (484 nucleotides) under uncultured bacterium. RNAcentral describes it as "partial 16S ribosomal RNA". It matches the Rfam family "Bacterial small subunit ribosomal RNA", at positions 30 to 507 of the family's 1533-position model. The record is from RNAcentral.